Molecule: ribosomal RNA, 485 nt
Filed under: Bradybaena similaris
Lineage: Eukaryota; Metazoa; Mollusca; Gastropoda; Stylommatophora; Camaenidae
Description: partial 12S ribosomal RNA
Source: RNAcentral
GUCAUACUUUUGCAGGCGUAAAGGUAACCUGAGUACGGGGUCAUUAGAAAUGGUCGCCUAGGUGAAAUUAACCUUUACACUACAACUAAUAAAAUUGAUGACACAUACUGAUCGCAAACAAGGAUUAGAUACCCUUUUAUGCAGUACUCACACCCAUACUUCGAGCACUACCACCCACAGGGACGAAACUCAAAUAACAUGGCGGUAAUUUAAAAUUUUAGGGGAACUUAUCAGGUAAAUGAUAACCACCAAGGUUAUCCUACUUUAUAUAAUAUUUUGUAUGCCGUCGUCCUAAGAUAUUUUAUAAUACAAUAUCUAAACAUGUACUGACAUAAGAGGACAGAUCAAGGUGCAGAUAAUUAUAAAGACUGGACGAGUUACAUUAUAGGGAUGCGAAUUUGCCUGAGAAUAAAGGCUAUGAAGAAGGACUUAAUUGUAAUAGUGUAUGAGUUUUACUACAUGAAUAGAACUUAAAUUGUGCACAA